RNAcentral lists this ribosomal RNA (395 nucleotides) under uncultured bacterium. Its description in RNAcentral is "bacterial SSU rRNA". It matches the Rfam family "Bacterial small subunit ribosomal RNA", at positions 28 to 418 of the family's 1533-position model. The record is from RNAcentral.
GACGAACGCUGGCGGCGUGCUUAACACAUGCAAGUCGAGCGGUAAGGCCCUUUCGGGGGUACGACGAGCGGCGAACGGGUGAGUAACACGUGGGUGACCUGCCCUCAGCUCUGGGAGUAAGCCUCGGGAAACCGGGUCUAAUACUGGAUAUGACUCCAUGACGCAUGUUGUGGGGUGGAAAGCCUUGUGCGGCUGAGGAUGGGCCCGCGGCCUAUCAGCUUGUUGGUGGGGUGANGGCCUACCAAGGCGACGACGGGUAGCCGGCCUGAGAGGGCGACCGGCCACACUGGGACGUGAGACACGGCCCAGACUCCUACGGGAGGGCAGCAGUGGGGAAGUCUUGCGCAAUGGGCGAAAGCCUGACGCAGCGACGCCGCGUGAGGGAUGACGGCCUC